CCUGAGUGCAUAGGGUGCAUGAGGGCAAGAUGCCUUGGACGCCAGCUGUGAUCUGAGGCUCGGACACGCAGGGUAUGCCUCGGCCCCAUGUUUGUAAUGCUGCCCGACACCUUCUCUUGGUCCGCAUACUCUGCAUACCAAGAUCCAAGUCUCGUGUAUCUAAUUAAUUAACUAAUUAAUUAAAUCAAUAUUUAAUUAACUUUUAGGGAUGGCAAUAGCCGUCGCUAAUACCAUCACUAAUA
This 242-nucleotide long non-coding RNA is filed under the name Elaeis guineensis (African oil palm). RNAcentral's name for it is "long non-coding RNA (EGUI_LNC047551)". The record is from RNAcentral. Lineage: Eukaryota; Viridiplantae; Streptophyta; Magnoliopsida; Arecales; Arecaceae.